This 420-nucleotide ribosomal RNA is filed under the name bacterium. Its description in RNAcentral is "partial 16S ribosomal RNA". It matches the Rfam family "Bacterial small subunit ribosomal RNA", at positions 355 to 776 of the family's 1533-position model. The record is from RNAcentral.
UGGGGGAUAUUGCACAAUGGGCGAAAGCCUGAUGCAGCGACGCCGCGUGGGGGAUGAAGGCUUUCGGGUUGUAAACCUCUUUCGCUAUCGAACAAUGCCCGCUUAGGGUGGGUUGAGGGUAGGUGGAGAAGAAGCGCUGGCUAACUACGUGCCAGCAGCCGCGGUAAUACGUAGGGCGCGAGCGUUGUCCGGAAUUAUUGGGCGUAAAGGGCUUGUAGGCGGCUUGUUGCGCCUGCUGUGAAAACGCGGGGCUUAACUUCGCGCGUGCAGUGGGUACGGGCAGGCUUGAGUGUGGUAGGGGUGACUGGAAUUCCAGGUGUAGCGGUGGAAUGCGCAGAUAUCUGGAGGAACACCGAUGGCGAAGGCAGGUCACUGGGCCAUUACUGACGCUGAGGAGCGAAAGCAUGGGUAGCGAACAGG